This 518-nucleotide ribosomal RNA is filed under the name uncultured Pseudomonas sp. Its description in RNAcentral is "bacterial SSU rRNA". It matches the Rfam family "Bacterial small subunit ribosomal RNA", at positions 208 to 714 of the family's 1533-position model. Lineage: Bacteria; Pseudomonadati; Pseudomonadota; Gammaproteobacteria; Pseudomonadales; Pseudomonadaceae. The record is from RNAcentral.
CCCUGACUGGCUAUCAGAUGAGCCUAGGUCGGAUUAGCUAGUUGGUCCGAUUGUAAAGAGCUCACCAAGGCGACGAUCCGUAACUGGUCUGAGAGGAUGAUCAGUCACACUGGAACUGAGACACGGUCCAGACUCCUACGGGAGGCAGCAGUGGGGAAUAUUGGACAAUGGGCGAAAGCCUGAUCCAGCCAUGCCGCGUGUGUGAAGAAGGUCUUCGGAUUGUAAAGCACUUUAAGUUGGGAGGAAGGGCUGUAGGCUAAUAUCCUGCAGUUUUGACGUUACCGACAGAAUAAGCACCGGCUAACUUCGUGCCAGCAGCCGCGGUAAUACGAAGGGUGCAAGCGUUAAUCGGAAUUACUGGGCGUAAAGCGUGUGUAGGCGGUUUGCUAAGUUGGAGGUGAAAGCCCCGGGCUCAACCUGGGAACUGCCUCCAAAACUGGCUGACUAGAGUACGGUAGAGGGUGGUGGAAUUUCCUGUGUAGCGGUGAAAUGCGUAGAUAUAGGAAGGAACACCAGUG